UUAUGUAUAUUUUAUUUAAAUCUUUUAGUUAACUGAUUUCGUAUUGGAUACGCUCUUAAAAUUGAACUUUAAGAAAUGCAUGCCGUCAAUCCGGAAUUGAUUUGUCAUUUUAGUGCGAAGCAAAAUGAGGUCCAGAAUAAAUUAUCAUAAUGACUAAACCGAAUUAAUUAGCAACUGUUAUGCAAAAACUUUUAUAAAAAGCUUAUCCCCAUAUGUAUUGGAUGUUAGUUAUUUCAACUCAGCUGAAGGAAGUGAAUAAUAUUCUAACAAUGAAAUCGAUUACCAUAGCUCUUUUAUUAAUAGCCAUAAUUGGAGUUACCUUGGGGUUAAAAGAUCCCGUCUGCGGUAAACCUGAGGGUGGGGACCUCAAAUGCACUAUGGCACGCAUGGGAGGAUUUGUAUAUAAUCUCAAAAAGAACACCUGUGAACAUCAUGCUCGCUGUUGGGGGGGAAACACCAAUUAUUUCUCGGAUCUCGCUGCUUGCGAAAAAAAGUGCAAGGAAUAAGAAAAUAAUACAUAUGUAUAUGUAUAAACGUACUGUACACCUACUACUAUGCCUUAUACCAUAAACUAUACUAUAAACACAUACACAAAUAGCGUGUAUCCAGAUUCAAUAGAAGCCGAAAGUUCUCUCAACUCAAAACUCUAA
Molecule: long non-coding RNA, 650 nt
Organism: Drosophila rhopaloa
Lineage: Eukaryota; Metazoa; Arthropoda; Insecta; Diptera; Drosophilidae
Exons: 2
Source: RefSeq, a predicted model, not a curated record